RNAcentral lists this ribosomal RNA (433 nucleotides) under uncultured bacterium. RNAcentral's name for it is "partial 16S ribosomal RNA". It matches the Rfam family "Bacterial small subunit ribosomal RNA", at positions 29 to 507 of the family's 1533-position model. The record is from RNAcentral.
AACGAACGCUGGCGGCAUGCCUAACACAUGCAAGUCGAACGAUGCUUUCGGGCAUAGUGGCGCACGGGUGCGUCACGCGUGGGAAUCUUCCCUUGGGUUCGGAAUAACAGUGAGAAAUUGCUGCUAAUACCGGAUGAUGUCUUCGGACCAAAGAUUUAUCGCCCAGGGAUGAGCCCGCGUAGGAUUAGCUAGUUGGUGGGGUAAUGGCCUACCAGGGCGACGAUCCUUAGCUGGUCUGAGAGGAUGAUCAGCCACACUGGGAGUGAGACGCGGCCCAGACUCCUACGGGAGGCAGCAGUGGGGAAUAUUGGAAAAUGGGCGCAAGGCUGAAGCAGCAAGGCCGGGUGAGUGAUGAAGGCAGUAGGGUUGUAAAGCUCUAUUAACCGGGAUGAUAAUGACGGUACCGGGAGAAUAAGCCACGGCUAACUACGUG